GUCUUAUUGAUUAUAAUUUUAAGUCUAAUCUGCCCAGUGAUUUAUUAAAUGGCUGCAGUAUUUUAACUGUACAAAGGUAGCAUAAUAAUUAGUUUCUUAAUUAGAAACUGGAAUGAAAGAUUGAACGAGACAAUAACUGUCUUAAUUUGAAUUUAAGAAUUUUAUUUUUAAGUUAAAAAGCUUAAAUUUUUUUAAAAGACGAGAAGACCCUAUAGAAUUUUAUAUUAUUAUUAUAUUUAAAUUUUAGUAUAUAAAUUUUAAAUUUUUUUAAAGAUAUUUGGUUGGGGUGAUUGGAAAAUUUAUUUAACUUUUUUUAUUAUAAAUCAUUUAUUUAUGUUUUUUUGAUCCAAAAUUUUUGAUUAUAAGAUUAAAUUACCUUAGGGAUAACAGCGUAAUUUUUUUAGAGAGUUCUUAUCGAUAAAAGAGAUUGCGACCUCGAUGUUGGAUUAAAGUUAAUUUUUAAUGUAGAAGUUAAAAUAUUAGGUCUGUUCGACCUUUAAAACUUUACAUGAUCUGAGUUUAAAUCGGCGUGAGCCAGGUUGGAUUCUAUCUUUAAUAAGUUUUUAUAUUUUAGUACGAAAGGACCAAAUAUAAUUUAUAGUAAAUUUUAUAGAAUAAUAUUAUUAUUUUGGCAGAUUAGUGCUUUAAAUUUAGAAUUUAAAUAUGUGAUAUUUUUACAAAUAAUA
Molecule: unclassified non-coding RNA, 686 nt
Filed under: Quaestus jeannei
Lineage: Eukaryota; Metazoa; Arthropoda; Insecta; Coleoptera; Leiodidae
Description: partial contains 16S ribosomal RNA (rrnL) and tRNA-Leu (trnL)
Rfam family: Bacterial large subunit ribosomal RNA (bases 383-541)
Source: RNAcentral